UCGAACGAGAUCUUUCGGGAUUUAGUGGCGGAGGGGUGAGUAACGCGUGAGAAUCUAGCUCUAGGUCGGGGACAACCGCUGGAAACGGUGGCUAAUACCGGAUGUGCCGCAAGGUGAAAGAUUUAUUGCCUAUAGAUGAGCUCGCGUCUGAUUAGCUAGUAGGUGUGGUAAGAGCGCACCUAGGCGACGAUCAGUAGCUGGUCUGAAAGGAUGAUCAGCCACACUGGGACUGAGACACGGCCCACACUCCUACGGGAGGCAGCAGUGGGGAAUUUUCCGCAAUGGGCGAAAGCCUGACGGAGCAAUACCGCGUGAGGGAGGAAGGCUCUUGGGUUGUAAACCUCUUUUCUCAAGGAAGAACACAAUGACGGUACUUGAGGAAUAAGCAUCGGCUAACUCCGUGCCAGCAGCCGCGGUAAUACGGAGGAUGCAAGCGUUAUCCGGAAUGAUUGGGCGUAAAGCGUCCGCAGGUGGCUAUGUAAGUCUGCUGUUAAAGAGUGAGGCUCAACCUCAUAAAAGCAGUGGAAACUACAUGGCUAGAGUGCGUUCGGGGCAGAGGGAAUUCCUGGUGUAGCGGUGAAAUGCGUAGAGAUCAGGAAGAACACCGGUGGCGAAAGCGCUCUGCUAGGCCGCAACUGACACUGAGGGACGAAAGCUAGGGGAGCGAAUGGGAUUAGAUACCCCAGUAGUCCUAGCCGUAAACGAUGGAUACUAGGCGUGGCUUGUAUCGACCCGAGCCGUGCCGUAGCUAACGCGUUAAGUAUCCCGCCUGGGGAGUACGCACGCAAGUGUGAAACUCAAAGGAAUUGACGGGGGCCCGCACAAGCGGUGGAGUAUGUGGUUUAAUUCGAUGCAACGCGAAGAACCUUACCAAGACUUGACAUGUCGCGAAUCUCCUUGAAAGGGGAGAGUGCCUUCGGGAGCGCGAACACAUGUGGUGCAUGGCUGUCGUCAGCUCGUGUCGUGAGAUGUUGGGUUAAGUCCCGCAACGAGCGCAACCCUCGUUUUUAGUUGCCAGCAUUAAGUUGGGCACUCUAGAGAGACUGCCGGUGACAAACCGGAGGAAGGUGGGGAUGACGUCAAGUCAGCAUGCCCCUUACGUCUUGGGCUACACACGUACUACAAUGCUACGGACAAAGGGCAGCAAGCUAGCGAUAGCAAGCAAAUCUCAUAAACCGUAGCUCACUUCAGAUCGAAGGCUGCAACUCGCCUUCGUGAAGGAGGAAUCGCUAGUAAUUGCAGGUCAGCAUACUGCAGUGAAUUCGUUCCCGGGCCUUGUACACACCGCCCGUCACACCAUGGAAGCUGGUAGUGCCCGAAGUCAUUACUCCAAC
RNAcentral lists this ribosomal RNA (1334 nucleotides) under Nostoc sp. MACC-294. Its description in RNAcentral is "bacterial SSU rRNA". It matches the Rfam family "Bacterial small subunit ribosomal RNA", at positions 62 to 1439 of the family's 1533-position model. Lineage: Bacteria; Bacillati; Cyanobacteriota; Cyanophyceae; Nostocales; Nostocaceae. The record is from RNAcentral.